GGAGAAUAGGUUAAUUUAAACUAACGGGUUCAUGUCCCGUCGUUACACUCGUGUUUUUCCG
This 61-nucleotide transfer RNA is filed under the name Khawia sinensis. RNAcentral describes it as "tRNA-Met". Lineage: Eukaryota; Metazoa; Platyhelminthes; Cestoda; Caryophyllidea; Lytocestidae. The record is from RNAcentral.